UAAAAGUGGCAAAGGAAGAGGUAAAGGUGUUAGUAAAUGUGUCCCCCUGUGAAACUGAAACAUCGUCUAGUAGUAUUUUAGGUAAAUUCUAGGCUGCCUUUGAAAAGUUGUGGAUAAGUUACGCAUAUAUCAAUUAAAAACAGCCGCAUGUACUCCUAAUGUUUUUCUUCAAAAAUUACAUGUUUGAUAUAUAUUAUGGAGUACAUGUGACUGAUUUUAAUUGGUUGUGAGUAAUUUAUCCACACCUUUUUAAAGGUAGCCUAGAUCUCGCUGUAUUUUAAGUUUUUAACGUUAAUAAGUUGAUGUGUCAAAGUUGCUGAAGUUGUGCAAAGGCAAAUCCUCAUUUUAAUCCUUCUAAUUUAU
RNAcentral lists this long non-coding RNA (363 nucleotides) under Medicago truncatula (barrel medic). RNAcentral describes it as "long non-coding RNA (MTRU_LNC006500)". Lineage: Eukaryota; Viridiplantae; Streptophyta; Magnoliopsida; Fabales; Fabaceae. The record is from RNAcentral.